CAUCAGAGCAGGGCAGAUCAGAUCAGGACAGUGUGGAAGUCCAGUAACAGAGCUACACUGGCAGGAAUGUUGCAACUAAUACCGAAAAGCUAUAGCAGAAGUACACUUGAUCACAUGCUUUGGGUGUGCUGCAUCUUCUCAAAAGGACCGUUAGCAGCUUUGUGUGUUGCAUUUGGAAGGACUUGCCUAGAAAGGGAUCCUUGCAUAGGCCCUCUGUUUCGGCUCAGGAGGCUGGUUUUUCCCUCCUCUUCUGCUCCCAAUCCAAGAAAUGUAGGUGUCACUGCAAAAAUAAUUGAGAUGAAAUGAAUAUAACACAAAAUAUGCAACCAACAGGUCUUACAUGGCUGCAAUUUUUUAGCAUCUCUGCCUUUUUGAUUUCUCACUCAACUCAUCACUUUGGCUCAUCUGCAGCUUCUGCUGCUUUAAUGUGUUACUCAGUUUGUACUUGAACUGGUUGUCUCAAGUGUCUGUUAUCUCUCCAGUGUGCCCUAGAAAACAAUAUGUGUGCAAAUACACUGACAAAAAACAGACCAGUGGAAUAUAGAAUUGUACUGUUAUUUUGACUUUUUUGUUUAACUGGUGAAAAGUGUUCCACAAGUCAUGAGAAGUAACUGAAAUGAGCUUGAAAGCUCAUUUCGAGCUGUCACUCGUGGAUAAUGGCUGCUUCAGCACUAAUCAUUUGUCCUUCCUGCCCUAGUUUGAAAGUGGCUAUGUAAGCCAGUUUAUUAUCAGAUGCCAAGUUGAAUAAGAACCUUUUGAUUCCACUGAAUGAUUACCAGACUUCAUAGCACUGAGUAAAAAUAGGAUGUUCUUUUCAUUUUCGUGCUGCCUGUGUACAACACUAUAGUAUGGGAAAGUAUAGGUACAGCCAUGAAUUAAUAACAACUAUGAUUCUGGUUCAAAAUAUUUCAGGACUGCUUUUCUUUCUUAGGGUUUCUUGAAAGCUUUCCUUCCACUUCCUUAGCUACGCUAUUUGAGAGGGGAUACUUCCACCUGAAUAGAAGAUUUCUUAAGGCAAUACAUAAUUUUUCUAGUUUUGGUACAUGCAAGUUUUUAAUUGCUUUAUUGAGAUAGACCUAAUUAAAAUAUUUCCUUCGAUAAAUGUCACUAUUUCUAAGACCAGUUAUGACUAUAGAUAUGGGAUGUGAUUUGUUUCUCUUUGUUAUGAGUAGUUUGUUACAAAGUAAUCAAUGUCUGUUAGUACAGCAAAAUUAGAGUUGUAAUAUACCUCUGUAGUAAGGUUGGACCUAUUUUGAAGAGGAUCUGAAUGUUCCAGCCAACCAAAAAUGAUAGAUAUUUAGUGUCCAAGAUAAUAAAAUCAUCAAAAUUAUCUAAAUUUAUAAAUUUUGUCUAAUUCCUUUUUAUUUUGAUAAGGGAAUGGAAAAGCUAAUUUGUAUUUAUCUUUAGGUCCACUCAGAGAUCUGAAAUGAGAAAGAGACUGAAGCUUAUUUUAAGCACAAUGAAAAUUAAGCAAUUAGAGGGUAAGCAGAUGAAUAUUAGAGGAAGAGAGACAAAACUUCAUUGCAGUAAUUUGAUUUUUAUGGUCAGUAUAUAGUGGCAAAAGGUAAUAGCCUUGUUCUGGGUUAAUGGUGACCUGCUGAGAGAACACAAUACACGAUUCCUUUAGACCAUUAUAAAUUGGCAGUGGCUUUUUAACUCAAGAUUAAGGUGUGAGAAGUGCCACCUCCUUAGAAAAGGGAUGCCCAGCCUUCCUGACCACUUCAUGAAAAUAUCUAUGUCGCAGGGACCAGAGGACAUUUCAUUUUUCUAUCUAUAUAUUCAAGACCAGAGGAUGGAGAAUCUUCAAAAAGUAGAUCAUAGAUAUGAGAUAUCAUAGGUGGAGAGAGAACAGCUCUAUACAGGCCUUAUUGUCCUGUUGCAGAGGCUGAAAUUCUGCUACGUAUUCACUGUAAUUCCUAGGUCAACAUGGUGCCUUUGUUAUGGCAUUCUGCUGUGGGCACUGCUCUGGAAACAUGUCAUCCCCACAGGUUGCCCUUACUGCACACAUAAACAUAACUAGCUCCCUCUUUUGAUCAUUCAGUUGCUUCUCUGCACUGUAAAAAGUUAAGAACUGCAGUUUUUAACUUUCUGGUGACUGACGCUUUUCUUAUACUUCUAUGCAGAUUAGCAAAGUACAGUGAGACAAACAUCAAAAGGGAGUUCAGUCUCAGAAAGGUUACAGACAGGAAUGUAGAGGACCUUCACAGUGCAGACAACUACUGACCCAAUGAAGUCACCUGGAAUUGCUUCACUGCUUACGGGAGACUCGGUGUUUCAGCAAGUGAAGUCCAAAAAGCUUGGUGAUGGCCACUGCUUUCUUCCCUGUGGAACCUUCAGAUGUUUAAAAUGCUGUGCCCCCAGCUGUCAUCUUGAGCACCACUAACAGCAGCCUGAGCCAGGGCCUCUAAUCCCAGAGGGAGUGUACUGAGAAUUAUAUUGCUGUGUGCCCCAUGACCCAAGAGUGACAAGGAUGUGAAUCCUGUGCAUAGCUGGCCUCACCUGGGCUGACACAGACUCUGAAACCUCAGACUUCAUUGCAGAGAACAAUCCUAUCUACAAAGGUUCCACUGAGCCAGUUUGAGAGCAUGCAGAAAAGAAACACAAGCUCAAAGCAAUGGCUGGCGGUUUUCUUAGUCCACAAGCAAAGAUGGCAAGGGCAGCAAAUGAGAGGGCCAGUGGCAUGUGGUUGCAGACUCUCUGUCAUGCAAGGUAGAGCAUUCACUGGAAAGCUGUGAAGUGACAGCAUGAGACUGCAGGUGAAAUGGCAACUUCACUCCUUGGACUAAACAUACAUUGGGACACCCAAGUAGGAAAGUAGUUUGGCAUGAGAGGAAGAAAACCUGGCCUUAGAAGAGGAGUUCAGACAGGAAGCAGCAAUAUUCCAUGAAGAUUUCUGAAUCAAACAGGAGAGGAACUGGCUUCUCAAAGAGCGUAUUGCAGAGAUUCCCUAAAACAUUCGGCUGCACAGCUGGAGCAGCUCCUGAAGCACCUUGUGGUCACAUUCUCAGCAGUAGGAGCCCUUCAGACAUGGUGUCUGUAUGGUGUCUGCUCACCAUGCCAGGUGGGGAGCCCCAGCCUUCCAAACAGCAGUCUUUUUUCGUAGGCUCAUGGUUGCCUCUGGGAUCAUGUAUACUGAGCUGAGAUGACUGAGGAAUCAAACUGACUCAUGAAGUCAGGGAUGGUAGCCUGCAGUGAUGAUGGCAGCAAGGAUUGUUCUCCCGUCAGCGGAAGGAAAACCUGCACUGGGCAGAGAGAGGAUAAAGCCCUCCUGUGCAUCCUACUGACGCACCACAAGCAGCUGCAGUUGCUUCCUACUGCCACAGCACAGGUAAGUCUGGUGUGUACACUCCGCCCUAGCUUUUCCAAGGUAUGCGUCAUGGCUGGAACAGAGACUUGCAUAGUGUCACAUCUCAUUGAUGAUACCCUCACCAUGAUCAGAUUCAUUUCUCCCUCCUCCUUUACUGUGCAACGCUUUCCUUAAUUUGUCAGCGCAAGCAGAAAUAACGAGGCUAACAGGAGCUUUGGCUUAUCUCCUCUUCUAACUGUGACUAAGAAGUAUGUGGGUGAUAUCUUGAUCAAGGGCUGUUUUGGUUGCAGUGUACACACACUCAAACUUUGCAGUUCCAGUCCAGAACAGUAGGUCAUCCCUGUGCCCAGUAAAUGCACUGUUACAACGGGUGCAACUCUGUAUCAAUUCAUGUCACAUCUGGCACACUUAACAUUUCAAAAACUGCAUAAGCUGCACCUCAAAAUGUUGUUACUCGGCAUUGCUGUCUGUAAUAACUGAGAAUCAUUACACUCCAUUAAGACAUUGAAUAUGAACAUGUAAAAGAACUGUUACUGUUAUCUGUAUGAUGACCAGACCAUUAAGAGUUCUUCUUAAUAAUAAAUA
Molecule: long non-coding RNA, 3892 nt
Organism: Numida meleagris (helmeted guineafowl)
Lineage: Eukaryota; Metazoa; Chordata; Aves; Galliformes; Numididae
Exons: 9
Source: RefSeq, a predicted model, not a curated record